GUGUGUGUGUGUGUGUGUGUGUGUGUGUGUGUGUGUAUGAGUGUGUAUGAGUGUAUGUGAAUGUGAGUGUAUGAGUAUGUGUAUGUAUGAGUGUGUGUGUAGAACUUUUUUCUUUUCCUCAAGAGAAGCAAACAAAAAUUCCAUUACUUGUGACCUUUCUCUGCAAUGGAAGUGAGCUGAUUUGAGGAGGUGAAUUGAUAGGAAUGGGGUGGGGGUGUUAACUGGCGAUGUAGCCAUUACAAAUGCUAUAGAAUGUUAAAACUAUAGCCUACUUGAACCACCUGUUGAAAUGCCACCUUAAUCAGAAAAGAAUCGGCUGAUGUGGCAGAUGUGGAUGAAGCUGCGCUUGAGUCUUCUCAAAGCUUUGUGAAACCACACGUGACUUAGUCCUGCUCGCUAGCAGGCAUAAAAAGCGAAUGUCCUAGAGCAAAUGUGGCGUCUCAGCAGGUGAGGGCACUUGCCACCAAACCUGAAGAUUUGUGUUUGGUCCCCCGGACUGACGGCUAGAAGGAGAAAACUGAUUCCCGGGUAUUGUCCUCUGACCGCACCACUACUGGGGAGUUCCCCAAGCCGACACCCCCAUGCACACAGGCACACAAAAUAAAAAAAUAAUGUAAAAAAUUU
Molecule: long non-coding RNA, 624 nt
Filed under: Mus musculus (house mouse)
Lineage: Eukaryota; Metazoa; Chordata; Mammalia; Rodentia; Muridae
Description: long non-coding RNA chr2:4299387-4300011
Source: RNAcentral